Non-coding RNA from Cucurbita moschata (crookneck pumpkin), 74 nucleotides. The record is from the annotation of a RefSeq genome assembly. NCBI's taxonomy places the organism in Eukaryota, Viridiplantae, Streptophyta, Magnoliopsida, Cucurbitales, Cucurbitaceae.
GACCUAUUAGCUCAGUUGGUUAGAGCGUCGUGCUAAUAACUCGAAGGUCCUAGGUUUGAAACCCACAUGGGCCA